This 233-nucleotide ribosomal RNA is filed under the name uncultured Staphylococcus sp. RNAcentral's name for it is "partial 16S ribosomal RNA". It matches the Rfam family "Bacterial small subunit ribosomal RNA", at positions 127 to 354 of the family's 1533-position model. Lineage: Bacteria; Bacillati; Bacillota; Bacilli; Caryophanales; Staphylococcaceae. The record is from RNAcentral.
UACCUAUAAGACUGGAUAACUUCGGAACCGGAGCUAAUNACCGGAUAAUAUUUCGAACCGCAUGGUUCGAUAGUGAAAGAUGGUUUUGCUAUCACUUAUAGAUGGACCCGCGCCGUAUUAGCUAGUUGGUAAGGUAACGGCUUACCAAGGCGACGAUACGUAGCCGACCUGAGAGGGUGAUCGGCCACACUGGAACUGAGACACGGUCCAGACUCCUACGGGAGGCAGCAGGC